UAGAGUUUGAUCCUGGCUCAGGACGAACGCUGGCGGCGUGCUUAACACAUGCAAGUCGAACGAGGCCCAAGCGUCAGCAAUGACGUGGAAGGCCUAGUGGCGAACGGGUGAGUAACACGUGAGGAACCUACCCCGGACUCAGGGAUAACAGACGGAAACAUCUGCUAAUACCUGAUGCCGUCGGAGCAUCACAUGGUGCACUGACGAAAGAAUCUCGGUUCGGGAGGGCCUCGCGGCCUAUCAGCUAGUUGGUGGGGUAACGGCCUACCAAGGCAUCGACGGGUAGCUGGUCUGAGAGGAUGAUCAGCCACACUGGGACUGAGACACGGCCCAGACUCCUACGGGAGGCAGCAGUGGGGAAUCUUGCGCAAUGGGCGAAAGCCUGACGCAGCAACGCCGCGUGCGGGAAGAAGGCCUUAGGGUUGUAAACCGCUUUCAGUAGGAACGAAAAUGACGGUACCUGCAGAAGAAGGUGCGGCCAACUACGUGCCAGCAGCCGCGGUGACACGUAGGCACCAAGCGUUGUCCGGAUUUAUUGGGCGUAAGGAGCUCGUAGGCGGUUCAGUAAGUCGGGUGUGAAAACUCUGGGCUUAACCCAGAGCCGCCACUCGAUACUGCUGUGACUAGAGUUCGGUAGGGGAGCAGGGAAUUCCUAGUGUAGCGGUGAAAUGCGCAGAUAUUAGGAGGAACACCGGUGGCGAAGGCGCUGCUCUGGGCCGAUACUGACGCUGAGGAGCGAAAGCGUGGGUAGCAAACAGGAUUAGAUACCCCUGGUAGUCCACGCCGUAAACGUUGGGCACUAGGUGUGGGGUUCCAACCAACGGAAUCCGCGCCGUCGCUAACGCAUUAAGUGCCCCGCCUGGGGAGUACGGCGGCAACGCUAAAACUCAAAGGAAUUGACGGGGGCCCGCACAAGCAGCGGAGCGUGUUGCUUAAUUCGAUGCAACGCGAAGAACCUUACC
RNAcentral lists this ribosomal RNA (962 nucleotides) under uncultured bacterium. Its description in RNAcentral is "bacterial SSU rRNA". It matches the Rfam family "Bacterial small subunit ribosomal RNA", at positions 1 to 975 of the family's 1533-position model. The record is from RNAcentral.